UGGGGAAUUUUGGACAAUGGGGGCAACCCUGAUCCAGCCAUGCCGCGUGAGUGAAGAAGGCCUUCGGGUUGUAAAGCUCUUUCGGCCGGAAAGAAAGCCUACCCAUGAAUAAGGGGUGGGGUUGACGGUACCGGCAAAAGAAGCACCGGCUAACUACGUGCCAGCAGCCGCGGUAAUACGUAGGGUGCGAGCGUUAAUCGGAAUUACUGGGCGUAAAGGGUGCGCAGGCGGUCUGCUAAGCUUGAUGUGAAAGCCCCGGGCUUAACCUGGGAACGGCAUUGAGGACUGGCAGACUAGAGUGUGGCAGAGGGGGGUGGAAUUCCACGUGUAGCAGUGAAAUGCGUAGAGAUGUGGAGGAACACCGAUGGCGAAGGCAGCCCCCUGGGCUAACACUGACGCUCAGGCACGAAAGCGUGGGGAGCAAACAG
RNAcentral lists this ribosomal RNA (428 nucleotides) under uncultured bacterium. Its description in RNAcentral is "bacterial SSU rRNA". It matches the Rfam family "Bacterial small subunit ribosomal RNA", at positions 355 to 775 of the family's 1533-position model. The record is from RNAcentral.